AUGGAUCAGCGGGCGAGGCACCCUCCCGGCAUCGGCAACGGCCGCGGCGGGAAUCCUAACUACCACGGCCGUGGCCCGCCGCCGACGCAGCAGCAUCACCAGCAGCCGUCGCCGCCUUCGCCGCAGCAGGCGCAGGGGCACCCGCAGCAGUACAUGCAGCGGCAGUCGCAGCACUCGCAGCACUCGCAGCACCACAGCCAGCAGCUUCAGCAUCAGCAGUGGCUUCGGCGGAAUCAGACCGCUGGCGAGGCCGCCUCGGGCGCCGCCAGAGCCAGCGAGCACCACGCGCCGGCUGCCGCCGAUGACGCCGAUUUGAGUUCGCAAGACUGGAAGGCCCAAUUGAAGCUUCCACCUCCAGAUACACGCUACCAGACCGAGGAUGUCACUGCAACUAAGGGAAACGAAUUUGAAGACUAUUUUCUGAAGCGUGAACUUCUUAUGGGCAUAUAUGAGAAAGGAUUUGAAAGACCGUCUCCUAUCCAAGAAGAAAGCAUUCCUAUUGCAUUAACCGGCAGCGACAUUCUUGCAAGAGCAAAAAAUGGAACCGGCAAGACUGCUGCAUUUUGUAUACCUGCGCUAGAGAAGAUUGAUCAAGACAAAAAUGCUAUUCAAGUUGUUAUAUUGGUCCCCACGAGGGAAUUGGCUUUACAAACAUCACAAGUCUGCAAGGAACUUGGGAAACACUUGAAGAUUCAAGUCAUGGUCACUACUGGAGGAACAAGCCUAAAGGAUGAUAUUGUCCGUCUUUAUCAACCUGUGCAUUUACUUGUGGGGACGCCUGGUCGUGUUUUGGACCUUACGAAGAAAGGCAUUUGCAUUCUGAAGGACUGUUCAAUGCUUAUUAUGGAUGAGGCAGACAAGCUUCUUUCUCCUGAGUUCCAACCUUCCGUGGAGCAGUUAAUUCGAUACCUUCCAUCGAGUCGACAGAUUCUGAUGUUCUCUGCAACAUUCCCUGUGACUGUCAAGGCUUUCAAGGACAAAUAUCUGCCUAAACCCUAUGUUAUUAAUCUUAUGGACGAACUUACACUGAAGGGAAUUACCCAGUUCUACGCCUUUGUUGAAGAAAGGCAGAAAGUCCAUUGUCUGAACACUCUUUUUUCCAAGCUGCAAAUUAAUCAAUCUAUAAUAUUCUGUAACUCCGUAAAUCGUGUUGAACUACUGGCGAAGAAGAUCACAGAGCUUGGUUACUCUUGCUUCUACAUCCAUGCUAAAAUGCUGCAGGAUCAUCGUAAUAGAGUAUUCCAUGAUUUCCGUAAUGGCGCAUGCAGGAACCUUGUGUGUACAGAUCUUUUUACAAGGGGAAUAGAUAUCCAAGCUGUUAAUGUUGUUAUCAAUUUUGAUUUCCCCAAGACCGCUGAAACCUAUCUCCACAGGGUUGGUAGAUCUGGGAGAUUUGGCCACCUUGGCCUGGCUGUGAAUCUGAUCACCUACGAGGAUCGUUUUAACUUGUAUCGGAUUGAGCAGGAGCUUGGAACUGAGAUAAAACCCAUACCUCCUCAGAUAGACCGGACGAUAUACUGCCAAUAG
This 1527-nucleotide ribosomal RNA is filed under the name Triticum aestivum (bread wheat). RNAcentral's name for it is "partial small subunit ribosomal RNA". The record is from RNAcentral. Lineage: Eukaryota; Viridiplantae; Streptophyta; Magnoliopsida; Poales; Poaceae.